RNAcentral lists this transfer RNA (111 nucleotides) under Actinomycetota bacterium. RNAcentral's name for it is "Actinobacteria bacterium tRNA-Glu". Lineage: Bacteria; Bacillati; Actinomycetota. The record is from RNAcentral.
GGCCCACGAUUGGACCAAGGCGGGAAGGGCACUCGAGGUUUUCCCUGCAAAUCGGCAGGUGGUUACCGCCCUCUCACGGCGGCGGCACGGGUUCGAAUCCCGUAUGGGCUA